CUGUUGUUCUCGGGGCCGGCCCGUGGCUGGUGGCGCAGCGCCCCCCAGCGGCCGCGCCCGGCUCGCCCUGAGGGCCUCGGGGAGCUUCCGGCCAUGAGAACAACAGCGUGCGGCCUCCGCACCGCAACCAGCGCGUCAAAUAUCCGAACGGGAUGUUUUCGGGCUGGCUUCUACAAAGAAGGAUGUCACAGAAAAAGUGAAAACUUACUUAGAAGAUAAUGCUGCACCUUGUUGAAGAGUUUCUGCAAGCUUUAUAGUUCCUUUGAAAAUACAAGUUUCCAUUGAAAAUGUUUAAAGUAAAACAAAAUUUAUCCACUUCUCUUCAAAUCCAUCAAGGAAAAAAAUGCCGGUAUACUCAUUAAGACAACUGUACCUGUUUAAUAUUUUCAUAUAUUGAAUUAAAUAUUAAAGAUUAAACACACAUACAGAAGUCAUGCAUAUUUGUAUAGAGGCCCAUAGAUGAAGAAGAGGGGGAGGGUGCA
This 482-nucleotide long non-coding RNA is filed under the name Cyanistes caeruleus (blue tit). RNAcentral's name for it is "lncRNA (ENSCCEG00000016622.1)". Lineage: Eukaryota; Metazoa; Chordata; Aves; Passeriformes; Paridae. The record is from RNAcentral.